ACGGUACUUAAUGCUUAUUAAAUAUUCUUUCUAAUUUCAAAUUCCCUUGCUUUGCUCCAUGAAUUAGGCAUUUGAAAUUCAUCCAACCACCUAGCAGCCUUAUCCACCGUUUGACCGCUUCAGCUGGGAAGAGUUUUGGUCCAACUCUACUACUCUCCUACACGCAUGCAGCAAAAAGGGGCAUCCGCGCGCUCAGCAGCUCGAACAUGGGCCUUCCACACGCAUAGGCACGCUACUCGCCACUGCG
This 247-nucleotide long non-coding RNA is filed under the name Gossypium barbadense (sea-island cotton). Its description in RNAcentral is "long non-coding RNA (GBAR_LNC007157)". Lineage: Eukaryota; Viridiplantae; Streptophyta; Magnoliopsida; Malvales; Malvaceae. The record is from RNAcentral.